UCGGGAAUAUUGCGGCAAUGGAGGAAACUCUGACGCAGUGACGCCGCGUAUAGGAAGAAGGUUUUCGGAUUGUAAACUAUUGUCUGCAGGGAAGAAAAAAGACUGUACCUGCAAAGAAAGCUCCGGCUAACUACGUGCCAGCAGCCGCGGUAAUACGGAGGGUGCAAGCGUUAAUCGGAAUAACUGGGCGUAAAGGGCGUGCAGGCGGUUCAUCAAGUAGGAUGUGAAAUCCCCGGGCUCAACCUGGGAACAGCAUACUAAACUGGUGGACUAGAGUAUUGCAGGGGGAGACGGAAUUCCAGGUGUAGCGGUGGAAUGCGUAGAUAUCUGGAAGAACACCAAAGGCGAAGGCAGUCUCCUGGGCAAAUACUGACGCUCAUAUGCGAAAGCGUGGGUAGCAAACAGGAUUAGAUACCCUGGUA
RNAcentral lists this ribosomal RNA (422 nucleotides) under uncultured Succinivibrio sp. Its description in RNAcentral is "bacterial SSU rRNA". It matches the Rfam family "Bacterial small subunit ribosomal RNA", at positions 355 to 792 of the family's 1533-position model. The record is from RNAcentral. Lineage: Bacteria; Pseudomonadati; Pseudomonadota; Gammaproteobacteria; Aeromonadales; Succinivibrionaceae.